AGUACCUGGAAAGAGAACCCAACAAGAUUAAAAUAAAAGAGACUCAAAAAGAGUUUUCCGUCAACUGAAUCUCCAUCGUCUUUCCCCUUCCCUUCCCUUUCUCGCGUUUUCCUUCUCCGCUUCUUCUUCGAUUCACGAUCCCCUUUCUCUCUCUCUCUCUCUCUCUCUCGGUUAUUCUUCUUCUUCUUCUUCUUCUUAUUCUUGUUCUUGUUGUUGAGUGUUUGUGUGUGGUGUUGAUCGCGUGUGUUCAUGGUGAUCGAGCAUGACAUUGAGAGCUGCGGGAGCAGAGCGGUGCAGUUGUCGCAUGCUAACCACCCUCGACACCACCGCCAGAAACUGGAGGUGUACAAUGAGGUGUUGCGGCGGAUUCAGGAUUCCGAUUGCGAGGAGGCGCACGUUCCCGGCUUCGAUGAUCAGCUAUGGCUACACUUCAAUCGACUUCCUGCUAGGUACGCGUUGGAUGUAAAUGUUGAGAGGGCAGAAGAUGUUUUGGCUCAUAAAAGAUUGCUCAAGUUGGCGGAGGAUCCCGCAUCUCGACCUGCAUUUCAAGUUCGGUUAGUACAGGUAUAUCCUUUUGGUGGUGCAAAUUAUACUGAUUCCACACAUUCAGAUCCUUCUGAAAUAGAGGAUGCACAGAGUUCUCUUAACUAUUCUUUAAAGCAGGGAAUUCAUCCACCACCCACAUUUGGUUCAUCCUCUAAUCUUGAAGCUCUUGCUCUUCAAACAACCAAAAAUAACAUUGAAGAUGGGGGAAGUGCUAUGAGUGUAACACCAUAUUUUCACAGGCCCAUGCACGAGAUUACCUUUUCAACAGUUGACAAGCCUAAACUCCUUAGUCAGUUAACAUCAAUACUUGGUGAGAUGGGACUGAAUAUUCAAGAAGCUCAUGCAUUCUCCACUACUGAUGGAUUUUCUCUGGAUGUCUUUGUUGUUGAGGGAUGGCCCAAUGAGGAAACUGAGGAGCUGAAAGGUGUGUUAGAAAAGGAAAUUUACAAGGUUAAGGAGCAGAAUAUGUCAAAUCAGGGCAUACAUUGUGCUGCCAAUGAUCAUUACCAGCCAAGGAUAGAGCAAUCCCCUCACUGCAUUCAAAUACCAACGGAUGGAGCUGAUGUCUGGGAACUUGAUACCAACCAGCUGAAAUAUGAAAACAAAGUUGGCUCUGGGUCAUUUGGUGACUUGUACAGAGGUACAUAUUGCAGUCAAGAUGUUGCUAUCAAAGUUCUCAAGCCUGAGCGCAUAAGUACAGAUAUGCUGAAGGAGUUUGCACAAGAAGUUUAUAUCAUGAGGAAGAUUCGACACAAGAAUGUUGUUCAGUUCAUCGGCGCAUGUACCAGGCCCCCGAAUCUUUGUAUUGUUACGGAGUUUAUGUCUAGGGGAAGCUUAUAUGACUUUCUGCACAAACAAAGAGGUGUAUUUAAGCUUCCAUCUUUGCUAAAAGUAGCAAUUGAUGUUUCCAAGGGAAUGAACUAUUUGCACCAAAAUAAUAUAAUUCACAGGGACCUCAAGACUGCCAAUCUUCUGAUGGAUGAAAAUGAAGUGGUAAAGGUUGCUGAUUUUGGGGUUGCUAGAGUGCAAACUCAGUCUGGUGUGAUGACAGCUGAAACUGGAACAUACCGUUGGAUGGCUCCUGAGGUCAUUGAACACAAACCAUAUGACCAGAAGGCAGAUGUUUUCAGUUUUGGAAUAGCUCUCUGGGAGCUUUUAACUGGAGAAGUGAGUACUUUCAUGCCAGACACUACCCUACUCUUGCUUGACCCCAUUACAAGCAGCAGUCGGCGUUGUGCAGAAGGGCCUAAGGCCUACAAUUCCAAAAACAACACACCCAAGACUUUCUGAACUGCUACAGCGCUGCUGGCAACAAGAUCCGACUCUCAGACCAGAUUUCUCUGAAAUAAUAGAAAUUCUUCAGCACAUAGCAAAAGAGGUCAAUGAUCACAAGGAUAAAUCAUCAUCCCAUGGCUUUCUCUCAGCUCUUAGACGGGUCCAUCACUGAUAUUACACGACAGUAUAGCCUUUUUGUCCUGUAUAGUAGCCAGACUCUGACCAAAUAUCUAUUCAGUUGGUUGUUUCUACUCUUGAAAGAUUCGGUGGUAUUGUGCUUGCCUUAAAUUUCUUUUAGAAUCUUCGUCUUUCUCCAAUUUAUCUAUUCAACUUGUUCACCUAGGAUGGAUACAAGAUUAGUGAAGGUCGAAAAUUCCAUGUAUCAUUUACAAUUAAUUUUUUGCUAAUUGUAUUCUAUGUGUUUUGACUGGGAGUUUUUUCGAUGCACUCCCUUGUAUCCAAACCCUUGAAGUUGACUCAGAGGCGUUACGUGUUGAUACUUGAGAUGUACCAACUUUAACUGUAAUAAAAUCGGCAUAUGUAAUGCAAUUUUAUUCAAAGGCA
Molecule: RNA transcript, 2385 nt
Organism: Vigna unguiculata (cowpea)
Lineage: Eukaryota; Viridiplantae; Streptophyta; Magnoliopsida; Fabales; Fabaceae
Gene: STY17
Gene name: ACT-like protein tyrosine kinase family protein
Source: RefSeq, a predicted model, not a curated record